Molecule: ribosomal RNA, 253 nt
Filed under: uncultured prokaryote
Description: partial 16S ribosomal RNA
Rfam family: Bacterial small subunit ribosomal RNA
Source: RNAcentral
GACGUAGGGUGCAAGCGUUGUCCGGAGUUACUGGGCGUAAAGGGCGCGUAGGCGGUACGUUGCGUCGCACGUGAAAGCCCCCGGCUCAACCGGGGAGGGUCGUGCGAUACGGGCGUACUGGAGGCAGCGAGAGGCGGGUGGAAUUCCGGGUGUAGUGGUGAAAUGCGUAGAGAUCCGGAGGAACACCAGUGGCGAAGGCGGCCCGCUGGCGCUGACCUGACGCUGAGGCGCGAAGGCAUGGGGAGCGAACGGG